Molecule: ribosomal RNA, 257 nt
Filed under: uncultured Rhizophagus
Lineage: Eukaryota; Fungi; Glomeromycota; Glomeromycetes; Glomerales; Glomeraceae
Description: partial 28S ribosomal RNA
Source: RNAcentral
UGCAUAUUCGUGCACUUUGGGUGUACUUGCCCGUAUGGUUGGUUAACAUCAAUUUUGAUGGUCAUAAAAUGACUGGAGGAAUGUAGCUUCGAUCUCGUAUUGAAGUGUUAUAGCCUUCGGUAGAUGUGAUGAUCGAGAUUGAGGAUUGCAACGGAUACCCUUCGGGGCUACCUGUCUGAUCUCUGAUCGUUGCUCUGGUGCCGAAAGCUUGCUUACGGUUAUCAAAGUCGAUGGUCAAUAGGUUAGAACGGGUUAAA